Molecule: RNA transcript, 1794 nt
Organism: Pan troglodytes (chimpanzee)
Lineage: Eukaryota; Metazoa; Chordata; Mammalia; Primates; Hominidae
Gene: ABI3
Gene name: ABI family member 3
Exons: 8
Source: RefSeq, a predicted model, not a curated record
AGGAAACCAAAAGCAAUAAGAGGGAGGGAAGGCAGAGCAACCAAUCAAGGGCAGGGUGAGACUCAAAACGAGCGGGCUCCCUGGGGAGCCAGACAGAGGCUGGGGGUGAUGGCGGAGCUACAGCAGCUGCAGGAGUUUGAGAUCCCCACGGGCCGGGAGGCUCUGAGGGGCAACCACAGUGCCCUGCUGCGGGUCGCUGACUACUGCGAGGACAACUAUGUGCAGGCCACAGACAAGCGGAAGGCACUGGAGGAGACCAUGGCCUUCACUACCCAGGCACUGGCCAGCGUGGCCUACCAGGUGGGCAACCUGGCCGGGCACACUCUGCGCAUGUUGGACCUGCAGGGGGCCACCCUGCGGCAGGUGGAAGCCCGUGUAAGCACGCUGGGCCAGGGGGAAGGGUGCUGGACACAGACCACCCCUCUCCGUCACCUUGAACCCUGUCAUGCAGAUGGUGAACAUGCACAUGGAGAAGGUGGCCCGAAGGGAGAUUGGCACCUUAGCCACUGUCCAGCGGCUGCCCCCCGGCCAGAAGGUCAUCGCCCCAGAGAACCUACCCCCUCUCACGCCCUACUGCAGGAGACCCCUCAACUUUGGCUGCCUGGACGACAUUGGCCAUGGGAUCAAGGACCUCAGCACGCAGCUGUCAAGAACAGGCACCCUGUCUCGAAAGAGCAUCAAGGCCCCUGUGACACCCGCCUCCGCCACCUUGGGGAGACCACCCCGGAUUCCCGAGCCAGUGCACCUGCCGGUGGUGCCCGACGGCAGACUCUCCGCCGCCUCCUCUGCCUCUUCCCUGGCCUCGGCCGGCAGUGCCGAAGGUGUCGGUGGGGCCCCCACGCCCAAGGGGCAGGCAGCACCUCCAGCCCCACCUCUCCCCAGCUCCUUGGACCCACCUCCUCCACCAGCAGCCGUCGAGGUGUUCCAGCGGCCUCCCACGCUGGAGGAGUUGUCCCCACCCCCACCGGCCUUUCUGCUUUUCCCCCAAGACGAAGAGCUGCCCUUGCCACUGGACCUGCCUCCUCCUCCACCCCUGGAUGGAGAUGAAUUGGGGCUGCCUCCACCCCCACCAGGAUUUGGGCCUGAUGAGCCCAGCUGGGUGCCUGCCUCAUACUUGGAGAAAGUGAUGACACUGUACCCAUACACCAGCCAGAAGGACAAUGAGCUCUCCUUCUCUGAGGGCACUGUCAUCUGUGUCACUCGCCGCUACUCCGAUGGCUGGUGCGAGGGCGUCAGCUCAGAGGGGACUGGAUUCUUCCCUGGGAACUAUGUGGAGCCCAGCUGCUGACAGCCCAGGGCUCUCUGGGCAGCUGAUGUCUGCACUGAGUGGGUUUCAUGAGCCCCAAGCCAAAACCAGCUCCAGUCACAGCUGGACUGGGUCUGCCCACCUCUUGGGCUGUGAGCUGUGUUCUGUCCCUCCUCCCAUUGGAGGGAGAAGGGGUCCUGGGGAGAAUUUAUCCAGAGGCCUGCUGCAGAUGGGGAAGAGCUGGAAACCAAGAAGUUUGUCAACAGAGGACCCCUACUCCAUGCAGGACAGGGUCUCCUGCUGCAAGUCCCAACUUUGAAUAAAACAGAUGAUGUCCUGUGACUGCCCCACAGAGAUAAGGGGCCAGGAGGGAUUGAAAGGCAUCCCAGUUCUAAGGCUGCUGCUAAUUACAGCCCCCAACCUCCAACCCACCAGCUGACCCAGAAGCAGCAUCUUCCCAUUUCCUCAGUACCCACAAAGUGCAGCCCACAUUGGACCCCAGACACCCCUCUGCAGCCAUUGACUGCAACUUGUUCUUUUGCCCAUUG